RNAcentral lists this transfer RNA (73 nucleotides) under Cordylochernes scorpioides. RNAcentral describes it as "tRNA-Glu". Lineage: Eukaryota; Metazoa; Arthropoda; Arachnida; Pseudoscorpiones; Chernetidae. The record is from RNAcentral.
GGGUUGGUGGAAGGCUGGUUAAACCGUUUGGUUUUCGACCAACAGGACCUGGGUUCGAUUCCCGGAUUGGACA